This 434-nucleotide ribosomal RNA is filed under the name uncultured bacterium. RNAcentral describes it as "partial 16S ribosomal RNA". It matches the Rfam family "Bacterial small subunit ribosomal RNA", at positions 29 to 507 of the family's 1533-position model. The record is from RNAcentral.
AGCGAACGCUGGCGGCAGGCCUAACACAUGCAAGUCGAACGAACCUUUCGGGGUUAGUGGCGGACGGGUGAGUAACACAUGGGAACGUGCCUUUAGGUUCGGAAUAACUCAGGGAAACUUGUGCUAAUACCGAAUGUGCCCUUCGGGGGAAAGAUUAAUCGCCUUUAGAGCGGCCCGCGUCUGAUUAGCUAGUUGGUUGAGGUAAUGGCUCACCAAGGCGACGAUCAGUAGCUGGUCUGAGAGGAUGAUCAGCCACAUUGGGACUGAGACACGGCCCAAACUCCUACGGGAGGCAGCAGUGGGGAAUCUUGCGCAAUGGGCGAAAGCCUGACGCAGCCAUGCCGCGUGAAUCAUGAAGGUCUUAGGAUUGUAAAAUUCUUUCACCGGGGACGAUAAUGACGGUACCCGGAGAAGAAGCCCCGGCUAACUUCGUG